Carlito syrichta (Philippine tarsier) is the source of this 778-nucleotide RNA transcript. It is a transcript of the gene named phosphoglycerate mutase 1 pseudogene, with no coding region annotated. The transcript has a single exon. NCBI's taxonomy places the organism in Eukaryota, Metazoa, Chordata, Mammalia, Primates, Tarsiidae. The record is from RefSeq and is a predicted model, not a curated record.
CCCUGCCCGCCACCAUGGCCACCUGCAAGCUGGUGCUGAUCCGGCAUGGUGAGAGCAUCUUGGACCUGGAGAACCGCUUCAGCGGCUGGUACGACGCAGACCUGAGCCCAGCGGGCCACAAGGAGGCGAAGUGCGGCGGCCAGCCGCUGAGACGCUGGCUAUGAGUUCGACAUCUGCUUCACCUCCGUGCAGAAGCGAGCCUUCCGCACGCUCUGGACAGUGCUGGACGCCAUCGACCAGAUGUGGCUACCCGUCGUGAGGACGUGGUGCCUCAGUGAGCACCACUAUGGGGGGCUGACGGGCCUCAACAAGGCUGAGACCGCUGCCAAGCACAGGAAGGCUCAGGUGAAGAUCUGGAGGCGUUCCUUCCACAUGCCGCCGCCCACGGAGCCCGACCACCCUUGUACGGCAACAUCAGCAAGGAUUGCAGGUACGCCGACCUCACUGAAGACCAGCUGCCCUUCUGUGAGAGUCUGAAGGACACCAUUGCCAGGGCGCUGCCCUUUCGGAAUGAGGAAAUUGUUCCCCAGAUCAAGGAAGGCAAGUGGGUGUUGAUCGCGGCCCACGGCAACAGCCUCCGGGGCAUCGUCAAGUACCUGGAAGGUCUCUCUGAAGAGGUGAUCAUGGAGCUGAACCUGCCGACCAGGAUCCCCAUCGUCUAUGAGUUGGACAAGAACUUGAAGCCCAUCAAGCCCAUGCAGUUCCUGGGGGACGAGGAGACCGUGCGCAAAGCCAUGGAAGCUGUGGCCGCCCAGGGCAAGGUCAGGAAGUGAGGACC